This 418-nucleotide ribosomal RNA is filed under the name uncultured bacterium. RNAcentral describes it as "bacterial SSU rRNA". It matches the Rfam family "Bacterial small subunit ribosomal RNA", at positions 355 to 773 of the family's 1533-position model. The record is from RNAcentral.
UGGGGAAUCUUGCGCAAUGGCCGAAAGGCUGACGCAGCGACGCCGCGUGGGGGAGGAAGGGCUUCGGCUCGUAAACCCCUGUUGCCCGGGGCGAACAUCCCUUUUCGAGGGGACUGACGGUACCGGGUGAGGAAGCACCGGCUAACUCAGUGCCAGCAGCCGCGGUAAUACGGAGGGUGCGAGCGUUGUCCGGAAUCACUGGGCGUAAAGGGCGCGUAGGUGGCCGAGCAAGGUCGCGGUGAAAGCCCGGGGCUCAACCCCGGGUCGGCCGUGGCAACUACUGGGCUGGAGCACUGUAGGGGCAGAUGGAAUUCCGGGUGUAGCGGUGGAAUGCGUAGAGAUCCGGAAGAACACCGGUGGCGAAGGCGGUCUGCUGGGCAGUUGCUGACACUGAGGCGCGACAGCGUGGGGAGCAAAC